This 253-nucleotide ribosomal RNA is filed under the name uncultured bacterium. Its description in RNAcentral is "partial 16S ribosomal RNA". It matches the Rfam family "Bacterial small subunit ribosomal RNA", at positions 524 to 776 of the family's 1533-position model. The record is from RNAcentral.
UACGUAGGGUGCGAGCGUUGUCCGGAAUUAUUGGGCGUAAAGCGCACGUAGGCGGAUCGUUAAGUCGGGGGUGAAAUCCUGGAGCUCAACUCCAGAACUGCCUUCGAUACUGGCGAUCUUGAGUCCGGAAGAGGUGAGUGGAACUCCUAGUGUAGAGGUGGAAUUCGUAGAUGUUAGGAAGAACACCAGUGGCGAAGGCGGCUCACUGGUCCGGUACUGACGCUGAGGUGCGAAAGCGUGGGGAGCAAACAGG